Molecule: long non-coding RNA, 700 nt
Filed under: Olea europaea subsp. europaea
Lineage: Eukaryota; Viridiplantae; Streptophyta; Magnoliopsida; Lamiales; Oleaceae
Source: RNAcentral
UGAACUUGGAAUACAUAAACAAUUCGAAUGGAAAGGUAUUAAAUAAAUUAAGUACCAUACAUAAACUGUAAGUCGCGAGAGUACAAAUGUUUGCCUACAAAAUAUGCUUGUUUUGAUACCAAGCUAUCAUGAUAUACAACCUCGCACCACAAAGCUUAACUACUUUACUUCAUUCAUCACAUACAAGACUUUCAACCUCCACAAAUAAUAAGGACAAGCUGAUUCAGUUUUAAUUGAGAAAAUUAGGCUAGCCACUUCGAUAAGUAUCUUCAAGUCAAGCCAGCCACUUCCCUUUAGCGUCCACAUUUGCAACUAUUUUCUCCAUCUUGAUGCUCACUUUAACCAAAAUCUGAAGCUCCUCUUCGUCACUUAUCCUUACCCAAGAUUUGAACAUGCGGGACAUUUCUUCAUCAGUGUCAUUCAUCACAGGGUUAGGGAAUGUCGUGCUAUCACGACUACAUUGACCGCUUGAGUCUUCUUUCACGACCCACUCCCAAAAUCCACAAUUCCGGUUGCAACAAAGGAAUAGUUUCCCUUUAUUGUGAUUUUCCUUCUCCACCACAAAACAUUUUUCAAAUUCAUACUUACAUCGCGAGUAAGGGCGUUUCUUUUUGCAUUCGACAAACAAAUGAUCCUUAGCUCUACAACUAUAACAAAUUUCGGAGUUCCUUCCGGGCAUUCUACGAUGGGAAUAAAAAAC